AGAACGAACGCUGGCGGCAUGCCUAACACAUGCAAGUCGAACGAGACCUUCGGGUCUAGUGGCGCACGGGUGCGUAACGCGUGGGAAUCUGCCCUUGGGUACGGAAUAACAGCGAGAAAUUGCUGCUAAUACCGUAUAAUGACUUCGGUCCAAAGAUUUAUCGCCCAGGGAUGAGCCCGCGUAGGAUUAGCUUGUUGGUGAGGUAAAGCUCACCAAGGCGACGAUCCUUAGCUGGUCUGAGAGGAUGAUCAGCCACACGUGGGACUGAGAC
RNAcentral lists this ribosomal RNA (271 nucleotides) under uncultured soil bacterium. RNAcentral's name for it is "partial 16S ribosomal RNA". It matches the Rfam family "Bacterial small subunit ribosomal RNA", at positions 26 to 325 of the family's 1533-position model. The record is from RNAcentral.